Molecule: ribosomal RNA, 253 nt
Filed under: uncultured bacterium
Lineage: Bacteria
Description: partial 16S ribosomal RNA
Rfam family: Bacterial small subunit ribosomal RNA
Source: RNAcentral
UACGUAGGGUGCAAGCGUUGUUCGGAAUCAUUGGGCGUAAAGCGCGUGUAGGUAGCUAAUUAAGUCGGAUGUGAAAGCCCUGGGCUCAACUCAGGAAGUGCAUUCGAAACUGGCUGGCUAGAAGAUGGUAGAGGAAGGUGGAAUUCCAAGUGUAGAGGUGAAAUUCGUAGAUAUUUGGAGGAAUACCGGCGGCGAAGGCGGCCUUCUGGGCCAUUCUUGACACUGAGACGCGAAAGCGUGGGGAGCAAACAGG